GUUGUUUAUGUGCUACAUAUUUGUUUUUCGUUCAUUUUUUUACAUAAAUAAGGCCGUUGGUUUUCUCGUUUGAAUUGUUUUACAUUGUCUUAUCAGGGCCUUUUAUAGCUCACUAUGCGGUAUGGGCUUUGCUCAUUGUUGAAGGCCGUACGGUGACCUAUAGUUGUUAAUGUCUGUGUCAUUUUGGUCUUUUGUGGAUAGUUGUCUCAUUGGCAAUCAUACCACAUCUUCUUUUUUAAAUUGUAGUUUU
Molecule: long non-coding RNA, 250 nt
Filed under: Mytilus galloprovincialis (Mediterranean mussel)
Lineage: Eukaryota; Metazoa; Mollusca; Bivalvia; Mytilida; Mytilidae
Source: RNAcentral